RNAcentral lists this ribosomal RNA (523 nucleotides) under uncultured bacterium. RNAcentral describes it as "bacterial SSU rRNA". It matches the Rfam family "Bacterial small subunit ribosomal RNA", at positions 777 to 1314 of the family's 1533-position model. The record is from RNAcentral.
AAUAGAUACCCGGGUAGUCCACGCCGUAAACUAUGGAUGCUAGCUGUUAGAAGUAUCGACCCUUCUAGUAGCGAAGCUAACGCGUUAAGCAUCCCGCCUGUGGAGUACGAGCGCAAGCUUAAAACAUAAAGGAAUUGACGGGGACCCGCACAAGCGGUGGAGCGUGUUGUUUAAUUCGAUGAUAAGCGAAGAACCUUACCCAGGCUUGACAUCCUUGGAAUUUUGCCGAAAGGCGAGAGUGCUUUUAGAGCCAAGUGACAGGUGAUGCAUGGCCGUCGUCAGCUCGUGUCGUGAGAUGUUUGGUUAAGUCCAUCAACGAGCGCAACCCUUGUAGUUAGUUGUAUUUUUCUAGCUAGACUGCCCUGGUAACAGGGAGGAAGGAGGGGAUGAUGUCAGGUCAGUAUUUCCCUUACGUCUGGGGCUACAAACACGCUACAAUGGCCGGUACAAAGCGCAGCCAACCCGCGAGGGGGAGCAAAUCGCAUCAAAGCCGGUCUCAGUUCGGAUUGCAGGCUGAAACUCG